Molecule: ribosomal RNA, 406 nt
Filed under: uncultured bacterium
Lineage: Bacteria
Description: partial 16S ribosomal RNA
Rfam family: Bacterial small subunit ribosomal RNA
Source: RNAcentral
AUUGAACGCUGGCGGCAGGCCUAACACAUGCAAGUCGAACGAGCGGCGGACGGGUGAGUAAUGUAUGGGGAUCUGCCUGAUGGAGGGGGAUAACUACUGGAAAAGGUAGCUAAUUCCGCCUACCAUCAUUUUAACCCAUAUGGGAUUAGCUUGUAGGUUAGGUAACGGCUAACCUAGGGGACGAUCCCUAGCUGGUCUGAGAGGAUGAUCAGCCACACUGGGACUGAGACACGGCCCAGACUCCUACGGGAGGCAGCAGUGGGGAAUAUUGCACAAUGGGCGCAAGCCUGAUGCAGCCAUGCCGCGUGUAUGAAGAAGGCCUGCGGGUUGUAAAGUACUUUCAGUCGGGAGGCGUUACCGACAGAAGAAGCACCGGCUAACUCCGUGCCAGCAGCCGCGGUAAUUC